UUGACCUCGGAUCAGGUAGGGAUACCCGCUGAACUUAAGCAUAUCAAUAAGGCGGA
Molecule: ribosomal RNA, 56 nt
Filed under: Aspergillus niger
Lineage: Eukaryota; Fungi; Ascomycota; Eurotiomycetes; Eurotiales; Aspergillaceae
Also listed under: 1 other name
Description: partial 28S ribosomal RNA
Source: RNAcentral